This 279-nucleotide ribosomal RNA is filed under the name uncultured Acidobacteriota bacterium. RNAcentral describes it as "uncultured Acidobacteria bacterium partial 16S ribosomal RNA". It matches the Rfam family "Bacterial small subunit ribosomal RNA", at positions 139 to 404 of the family's 1533-position model. Lineage: Bacteria; Pseudomonadati; Acidobacteriota. The record is from RNAcentral.
GGGGAUAACCUUCCGAAAGGAGGGCUAAUACCGCAUGACAGCCUCUGCAUAGAUACAGGGGACUCAAAACACAGAAGUCGCAAGACCUGGCGCUUGGAGAGGGGCCCGCGUCCGAUUAGCUAGUUGGUGGGGUAAUGGCUCACCAAGGCUCCGAUCGGUAUCCGGCCUGAGAGGGCGGACGGACACACUGGAACUGAGACACGGUCCAGACUCCUACGGGAGGCAGCAGUGGGGAAUUGUUCGCAAUGGGCGCAAGCCUGACGACGCAACGCCGCGUGG